RNAcentral lists this ribosomal RNA (490 nucleotides) under uncultured bacterium. RNAcentral describes it as "partial 16S ribosomal RNA". It matches the Rfam family "Bacterial small subunit ribosomal RNA", at positions 29 to 507 of the family's 1533-position model. The record is from RNAcentral.
AGUGAACGCUGGCGGCAGGCCUAACACAUGCAAGUCGAACGGCAGCACAAGAGAGCUUGCUCUCUGGGUGGCGAGUGGCGGACGGGUGAGGAAUGCAUCGGAAUCUGCCCAUUUGUGGGGGAUAACCUCGGGAAACCGGGACUAAUACCGCAUACGACCUACGGGUGAAAGCAGGGGAUCUUCGGACCUUGCGCAGAUGGAUGAGCCGAUGCCGGAUUAGCUAGUUGGAGGGGUAAAGUCCCACCAAGGCGACGAUCCGUAGCUGGUCUGAGAGGAUGAUCAGCCACACUGGGACUGAGACACGGCCCAGACUCCUACGGGAGGCAGCAGUGGGGAAUAUUGGACAAUGGGCGCAAGCCUGAUCCAGCCAUGCCGCGUGUGUGAAGAAGGCCUUCGGGUUGUAAAGCACUUUUGUUGGGAAAGAAAAGCAGCCGGUUAAUACCCGGUUGUCAUGACGGUACCCAAAGAAUAAGCACCGGCUAACUUCGUG